CUGAUCCGACGGCUCGGGCUCAUUGUACACUGUGUUUUGGAAGUGUCUGAUUGUAGGGUGGCAUGUUUGGGGUUGUUCCUUGUAGGCCGCAGAACUCGUGUCUCACUUCUAACUCCCGACCUGCUUUAAAAACACACUUUUUUGGGGGGAGGGAGGGGGUACAUUUAACUUUAACAAAUACAAACUUUACAACAUACAAACUUUAACUCAUACAAACUUUAGAGCAAACUUUCUGUUACUCUCCCCACCCUCCCCCUUCCUUUUUCUAAAUGGAAAAGAAUGUCCGGAGGGGUUGUCAGAUAGAAGACUACACUUACAAAGUGUUUAUGAUUCCAGGUGCAUGAAAUCUUUAAUAUUACAGGGUGAUGACAACUCCGUGAGGGUGGAGAUUAUAUGUCUCAUCAUUUCGGCAACAAGGAAAUAAAUUAGUGGCAGAGUGAGGGUGACUUGGUGAGUACAUCCAAUUGUUGACAUAGUUUUGGGUAGGAGAAAUUUUGCUAUUAUAUCAACUUAACUUCUUAAAAUGGUCUAAUGGGAUUAACUUGAUUUCAAUUCACAGAGAUCUCCUGGAAGCGAGGAUCCUUUAAAAAUCCUGGAAUAUACACUGCAGUAAAAGAACAAAGCAUACCUCAGCCUUAAACUACUGAAGAAGAAUGUCAAGUGGGGAAGUGGCUUUGGUUUUGAGUUUGUGGGUUCUGAAUCCACACAAAGACAGGACUGCAUUCUGAAAACCUGAAUUAAUUAUUGUCCUUACCUCAAUAAGACAAAAAAUUAUAAUCAAAAUCAUUAGUAUUACAGUCACAGAUAUUGCCAAGAUGAGUCUGUUGUUAUAGCCAUAUCCUGGAACUUCUUUCGUGAGCUAAAAAAAAAAAAAAAAAAGGAAAGAACAAUUAAAAAAAAAAGAAAAGAAUGAAGCUAACUUUUCAAUAACCCCAGUAUUCCAGGUUUGAGUAGCUUACAGUUUCUUUUUUAUUUUUUUUGAGACGGGUUUCACUCUGUCACCCCCAGGCUGGAGUACAGUGGUACGUCACAGUUCACUACAGACUCUACCUCCCUGGGCUCAGGUGGUCCUCCCACCUUCAGCCUCCCGAGGUAGCUUGGGACUAAGCACGUGUCAACCCACACCCA
This 1128-nucleotide long non-coding RNA is filed under the name Macaca nemestrina (pig-tailed macaque). Its description in RNAcentral is "lncRNA (ENSMNEG00000045998.1)". The record is from RNAcentral. Lineage: Eukaryota; Metazoa; Chordata; Mammalia; Primates; Cercopithecidae.